CAUCUUUGAAAUUGUUUGACUUAAUGGUUUGACUAAGGUAUUAAGAAAUAAAACGUCACUCUAAAUAAAGGUAGUAAAUUUAUCAAAUUCAUGAUCCACGUAUAAGUCAGUAUAAAGUAUAAUAAGUUCUUAUAAGAUUUGAAUCAAUCCACAGAUUACUGGCUUAUCUUGGUUAUCAAAGAAGGCUGGGAUUAUUUGGGUGGGAGUAGGGUGGCAGGAUGUUAUCCAAUCCCUUUUAAAUUAUUUCAUAUCAUAAAGAUCUGUAGACCUUUCUCUACUGCCACAGUCAGAGACAGGAUACAUUUUGGAUGGACAUGGGCGUGAUCCAGCACAUAUUUUGUUAAGUUUGUUUUUAAAUAAUUUCUUGAAGUCUUUCAAGCAUCUUGGACUCUAGAGUUGGCCUGUUCAUGGCUCUAUAAGGUUUGCAUAACAUCUAAGUGAUGUCCCUGUAGAAGUGUAUUUUUGCAUAAAGAAACUGAAAGAAUAAAGAAUACUAUUUUUUCCACCAAAAUAAUAUGUAAAUUAAGCAGUAAAAUGUAUAUGAGUUUUGGUUGAAUUGUGCCAUUAAUCUUGCUGUUAGUAAGAAAACUUCUUUCUCUUGUGUAAUAACUUACCUGCCGUAAGUUUCCAAGUUUUUAAUUCUCUUCCUUUUAGUUAAUCUCUCUGAUUCUUAAGAAUUGAGUACAGAAAAUGGAAAUUUUAUUAUUUGAUGAGAUUGAACAUGAGAAGUGCUAUGCCAAUGAUGUUUUAAUGAAUAAAGAGUUUUUUUUUUAAAAAGA
Molecule: long non-coding RNA, 779 nt
Filed under: Bos taurus (domestic cattle)
Lineage: Eukaryota; Metazoa; Chordata; Mammalia; Artiodactyla; Bovidae
Description: long non-coding RNA NONBTAT023809
Source: RNAcentral